AUUGAACGCUGGCGGCAGGCCUAACACAUGCAAGUCGAGCGGAUGAAGGGAGCUUGCUCCUGGAUUCAGCGGCGGACGGGUGAGUAAUGCCUAGGAAUCUGCCUGGUAGUGGGGGAUAACGUCCGGAAACGGGCGCUAAUACCGCAUACGUCCUGAGGGAGAAAGUGGGGGAUCUUCGGACCUCACGCUAUCAGAUGAGCCUAGGUCGGAUUAGCUAGUUGGUGGGGUAAAGGCCUACCAAGGCGACGAUCCGUAACUGGUCUGAGAGGAUGAUCAGUCACACUGGAACUGAGACACGGUCCAGACUCCUACGGGAGGCAGCAGUGGGGAAUAUUGGACAAUGGGCGAAAGCCUGAUCCAGCCAUGCCGCGUGUGUGAAGAAGGUCUUCGGAUUGUAAAGCACUUUAAGUUGGGAGGAAGGGCAGUAAGUUAAUACCUUGCUGUUUUGACGUGACCAACAGAAUAGCACCGGCUAACUUCGUG
This 483-nucleotide ribosomal RNA is filed under the name uncultured bacterium. RNAcentral's name for it is "partial 16S ribosomal RNA". It matches the Rfam family "Bacterial small subunit ribosomal RNA", at positions 30 to 507 of the family's 1533-position model. The record is from RNAcentral.